GAUGAACGCUAGCGGGAGGCCUAACACAUGCAAGCCGAGCGGUAUUUGUCCUUCGGGGCAGAGAGAGCGGCGUACGGGUGCGGAACACGUGUGCAACCUGCCUUUAUCUGGGGGUUAGCCUUUCGAAAGGAAGAUUAAUACCCAAUAAUAUAUCGAAUGGCAUCAUUCGAUAUUGAAAACUCCGGUGGAUAGAGAUGGGCACGCGCAAGAUUAGAUAGUUGGUGAGGUAACGGCUCACCAAGUCAGUGAUCUUUAGGUGGCCUGAGAGUGUGAGCCCCCAGAAUGGGACUGAGCCCAGGACCACAGUGCUACGGGAGGCAGCAGUGAGGAAUAUAGGACAAUGGGUGAGAGCCUGAUCCAGCCAUCCCGCGUGAAGGACUAAGGCCCUAUGGGUUGUAAACUUCUUUUAUACUGGGAUAAACCUACUUACGUGUAAGUAGCUGAAGGUACAGUAUGAAUAAGCACCGGCUAACUCCGUG
Molecule: ribosomal RNA, 479 nt
Filed under: uncultured bacterium
Lineage: Bacteria
Description: partial 16S ribosomal RNA
Rfam family: Bacterial small subunit ribosomal RNA
Source: RNAcentral